GAUGAACGCUGGCGGCGUGCUUAACACAUGCAAGUCGAACGAUGAAGCCCAGCUUGCUGGGUGGAUUAGUGGCGAACGGGUGAGUAACACGUGAGUAACCUGCCCUUAACUCUGGGAUAAGCCUGGGAAACUGGGUCUAAUACCGGAUAGGAGCGUCCACCGCAUGGUGGGUGUUGGAAAGAUUUAUCGGUUUUGGAUGGACUCGCGGCCUAUCAGCUUGUUGGUGAGGUAAUGGCUCACCAAGGCGACGACGGGUAGCCGGCCAGAGAGGAUGACCGGCCACACUGGGACUGAGACACGGCCCAGACUCCUACGGGAGGCAGCAGUGGGGAAUAUUGCACAAUGGGCGCAAGCCUGAUGCAGCGACGCCGCGUGAGGGAUGACGGCCUUCGGGUUGUAAACCUCUUUCAGUAGGGAAGAAGCGAAAGUGACGGUACCUGCAGAAGAAGCACCGGCUAACUACGUG
This 466-nucleotide ribosomal RNA is filed under the name uncultured bacterium. RNAcentral's name for it is "partial 16S ribosomal RNA". It matches the Rfam family "Bacterial small subunit ribosomal RNA", at positions 28 to 507 of the family's 1533-position model. The record is from RNAcentral.